Molecule: ribosomal RNA, 301 nt
Filed under: uncultured bacterium
Lineage: Bacteria
Description: partial 16S ribosomal RNA
Rfam family: Bacterial small subunit ribosomal RNA
Source: RNAcentral
CAGUAGCCGCGGGAAUACGGAGGGGGCUAGCGUUGUUCGGAAUUACUGGGCGUAAAGCGCACGUAGGCGGCUUUGUAAGUUAGAGGUGAAAGCCCGGGGCUCAACCCCGGAAUUGCCUUUAAGACUGCAGGGCUAGCAGGUGAGAGAGGUGAGUGGAAUUCCGAGUGUAGAGGUGAAAUUCGUAGAUAUUCGGAAGAACACCAGUGGCGAAGGCGGCUCACUGGCUCAUACUGGACGCUGAGGUGCGAAAGCGUGGGGAGCAAACAGGAUUAGAUACCCCAGUAGUCCCUGUCUCUUAUAC